UACGUAGGGUGCGAGCGUUGUCCGGAAUUAUUGGGCGUAAAGAGCGUGUAGGCGGCCAGACAGGUCCGUUGUGAAAACUAGAGGCUUAACCUCUAGACGUCGAUGGAAACCGUCUGGCUAGAGUCCGGAAGAGGAGAAUGGAAUUCCUGGUGUAGCGGUGAAAUGCGCAGAUAUCAGGAAGAACACCCGUGGCUAAGGCGGUUCUCUAGUACGGUACUGACGCUGAGACGCGAAAGCGUGGGGAGCGAACAGG
RNAcentral lists this ribosomal RNA (253 nucleotides) under uncultured bacterium. RNAcentral describes it as "partial 16S ribosomal RNA". It matches the Rfam family "Bacterial small subunit ribosomal RNA", at positions 524 to 776 of the family's 1533-position model. The record is from RNAcentral.